RNAcentral lists this transfer RNA (118 nucleotides) under Pseudonocardia hierapolitana. Its description in RNAcentral is "tRNA-Ala". It matches the Rfam family "tRNA". Rfam says of the family: Transfer RNA (tRNA) molecules are approximately 80 nucleotides in length. Their secondary structure includes four short double-helical elements and three loops (D, anti-codon, and T loops). Further hydrogen bonds mediate the characteristic L-shaped molecular structure. tRNAs have two regions of fundamental functional importance: the anti-codon, which is responsible for specific mRNA codon recognition, and the 3' end, to which the tRNAs corresponding amino acid is attached (by aminoacyl-tRNA synthetases). tRNAs cope with the degeneracy of the genetic code in two manners: having more than one tRNA (with a specific anti-codon) for a particular amino acid; and 'wobble' base-pairing, i.e. permitting non-standard base-pairing at the 3rd anti-codon position. Lineage: Bacteria; Bacillati; Actinomycetota; Actinomycetes; Pseudonocardiales; Pseudonocardiaceae. The record is from RNAcentral.
GGCGCUGUGGCAGAGUGGCCCAUUGCACCGUCAGGGGGAAGGCUCUCCCCGUGACGGCUAGUCGAGGACGGGUGAGCCCUGCUCGGCCUCGCCGCGGGUUCGAAUCCCGUCGGCGCUC